This 18104-nucleotide long non-coding RNA is filed under the name Ananas comosus (pineapple). RNAcentral's name for it is "long non-coding RNA (ACOM_LNC026835)". Lineage: Eukaryota; Viridiplantae; Streptophyta; Magnoliopsida; Poales; Bromeliaceae. The record is from RNAcentral.
GUAAUACACUGAACUUUUGCCAAUUGCAGAGUUCGAGUGUGUGGAAGGCAAAGUGGAACUAUCCUAUAUAUUCUAAAAGGCUUGGACAAGUUUUUGGACAAGUUAGAGGGUGAUUGGAAAGCUAAAAGCAAGAAAGUGCAUUGAUCUGGCGAAAUCAAUGUUUUCCUGCUUGCUGUACCGGUACAGCCAUCACCUUGUACCGGUACAGACUGGCAGAAAAGUGGCAGCAAGGGUCUUUUGGUCAUUUCACAUUCUAAUACUUAUCUACCUGACCCAGCUCGACUUCUGGAGCACCUUGGAAGGUAGUNGCAAGCUGGACUACCUUGAGUAGGUCCCUGUGAAUGAAAGGAAAGUGCUAAAGGGAAUUGGACAGUAAUGAAUGAUUACCCGUUACAGUGUAUAGUAGUUACUUACACAUUUAUGCAUAUGUUCAUGCUUAUCAUAGUUGCUAUGCUUCUAUUAUUCAGUUGACUCAUUACUGUUGAAACUAUGAUUACAUGUUGCUUACAUGCUCAUUACCUGUUAGCAUUGCAUAAUUAUUUAUCAUGCAUUUACUGUUUUCGCUUUCAUUUAGUACAUCGUGAGCCUAGUGGUGUAAUUCGCCGAGCUGGCGGCUUACCCACUGGGAACUAUUGUUAAUAGUUCUCACGCCCUUUUUAUGGUUGUUUUUACAGAGCCAUCUACAGGCGAGGCUAGGGAUCGUGGCAAGGGAGUCGCGUCUAGCUAGACAUUGCUAGGGGCAUGCUAGUCGAUCACCUUGCUACUCGGGCUACGGCCGAGGGUGAUGUCCCUAUGUAUAGAGAGACUACCAUUGUACCUAUUUUUGUAUACCCCGUGAUGUAUAUUUACUGUUGAACCAGAUGUUUUGGUUGUGAUACUUCUUCCUGUGGUUGAGAUUUUUGGAUUGUAUACUCUUUGUUCUUUUACUAAUAGUAUAUCGACUUGUACAUUGCUCUGAUAUCAGGAUAGGACUUUCUUUGUUUUACUUACUAUCGACUUGCUUUCUUCGUAGAUGCCUUAUAUACUGCAGGUGUAUGGCGGGUCUGUGCACGUACCGGAUAUGCUUCCGCUGGUACCCGGGCGUGACACAGGAUUUGUACCGGUGCACUUUUUCGUGUACCGGUACACAAUACAGUGCGAGCUGUUUUUGUAGAGGGGUGUAUUUGCAAUUAUUGCUAACUCUAUAUAACCUACCCCAGCCCCCUUUGAGUGCCCUUUUGAGUCCUAACCAGUGAAGAAUUAGGGUAAGGCUUCCUCCACUUGUUUGAUCUCCAGUUUUAAUGGAUUUUUUGCAUGUUUUGAUCUCCUCCUCUUUGUUUUUUCUUGCUUCUUGUUGGGUUCCACCAUGGGAGAAGCUUGGAUUUUGGGAUUGGAGCUUGAUAGAGGAUCAACCUUCAACCCUAGGUCACCUUGAGCUUUGUUUGGAGCUUCCCUUGAGGUUAGUAUCAUGAUUCUUCCGUUAGAUUCUUGAUUUGGAGGAUUUUUGAUGUUGGAACCCUAGAUUUGGAACUUAGGGUUUAUUAAGGGGAUUUUUGAUUAGAGGCUUUUGAAGCCCAAUUGAUCUCAUUAAAACUUUUGUUUAGGUUGGUUUGGAAGGACUCUAACUCCCAUUUGGAGAUCGAGAGAGUUUCCUUCGCAUUCGGUGAGUUUUCUUCACCUUUGCUUGAGUUGCUUAAUGUUUGAGCAAUUAAUUGUUCGUAACGUUCGUGUAUCUCUCUUUUCUAUACCUUUAGGGUGCUAGGAGAGUAGUGGGCAACCUCGUUCGGCGAAACGAAGAGUUGCGAGAGUCACGGUAGGUUUGACUUCAUGAAACAGGGGAGAAAUAUCCCCUGUGUGUUUUAUAUUUGUCGUAUCGUCGAGAUGCAUGCAUAUUCAUACUAGAUAGAAUUUUUAUGAAUUUUAGAAUACUUAAAAUGCAUGCAGUAUGUAUCAUGAAAAUUCAACUCUAUAUAGUAGAGCCUUAUGUGGAUUAUACAUGCAUGUGAGUAGUAUUCUUUCUUGUGGAUUGGAAACAUGUCUCAUAUGAUGAAAAUGACUCGAUUUAUGUAUUCUUUAGCACUAAACUCAUGUUUGGACUUAGUGGAUAAAAGUGCUAUAAAGGGGCACCCGACUUAGUAAACUAUGAAACUGCAACAUAGAGACAUAGUAAUAGGCCAUUUGGACAUCGACUAUAUUUCAUGUUUUAGACAUGAUGACAUAGUGAUAAGCCUUUGAGAUAUUUACUACAUUUCAUAUUUUAGACAUGAUGACUUGAGACUCAAACAGACUUUUACGCUUGCUUGCCAUUGUGCUCAUUCGCACAGCCUUGUGAGGGUCGCUCCCCACAAGCCGGCACUCCGGAGAUAGCCAUCGCGACACAUGCUCGCCCGUGCGGGAUUGGGCGCCGAAAUGGGAUGCCGUGGGAGAGGCUCAUUCUUAGAGUGGGGAUGUUGACUACCACGGGGCCAUUAGGCACGGCGCAAGCCGGACUACCCACGAGUAGGUCCUAUGAGAUUUGGAACAAGUGGAACCAAUUUGUAAAUGAACAAUUUGACAAGUUAGCAAACAUUGACAAUUUACUAGUUACCUGUGGACAUCAUAAUAGUUGCACUUAUGCAUAUUUAUAGUACAGUAGUAUUCUUACUUAUGCAAAUUCAUGCUAAGUGGAGAUAUCGUGUUGUAGCAAACUUUCAUGUUUAUUUGCUUAUUGUUUAUAUUGCUUUACUCGUACUUACCCCUUUUCAGUUUUUGGGCCUAGUGGCGUAUUUCACUGAAAUCAGUAAUUGCCCACUAGAAACUAUUAUUUAAUAGUUCUCACGCCCUCUGUUUUAUGGUUUUCUUUCAGAGCCUUCAGCACCGGUAGAGGCACGGGAUCGCGGCAAAGGGGUCGCAUAGCUAGAUAGCAAGGAUUUACAUUUUGCUUAGGUGAUUUUCUCUCUUUUUGGAUUAUUGUUGUGAGAGAGAGAGGUUUUGUAUCCAUGUAUAGAGACAACCUAUGUACUAUUCUUAGCACUUGUAUUUGGAUUUUCAGUUGUACUACUUUAUAGUUUUUUUUUAGUGGACUUUAGCCUUUCGCUUAUUUCUCUAUUGUAGAUUAUAGUUGUUCUCUGCUCUGAUACUUCUAGAUGUCUUUCUACUAUUACUUUAUUUACCGUUUUAUUGUAGACGCCUUAUACGUUUUAGACAUAUGGCGGGUCUGGGCACGUGCCGGACAGGCUUCCGCUGGGUCCCAGGGCGUGACAGAUUAAUUUGGUAUCAGAGCCUAUGGUUGAGUCUUAAUGGACCUAGCAAAUCUUAGGCCGGUUGGACUAUAGAAAAUAGGCUCGUGAGAGACGAAAUCUAUUUGAUUUGUAAGCGAAAGUAUCAUGAUUGGGUAUUCUUGAUAACUCUAAAAAGUGGAGUUAAAUUGAAGUGUAUAGCUUCUAACUUCGCGGAGGGUUACGUUGGCGGCCGACAACGUAACAUCGGGAGUUAGUAGUGAAGAACACUUUCUUACUUUCACAUGAUUUGGGUAUUAUCUUCUUGAGUGGGGAUUCGAUAACGUGGGUUUACUAACUUGCGCUUUUAUGAUGUUGUAGUGAGAUGCCGAUGACACACUCUCAAUCUGCUGGAGCGGACAAUACGGCACACCUUAAGGAGGUCGAGAUCUUCGCUACCUCCGGAUCCAGCGAGGUCCGUGAGUUGAGGAGCCAGCUUGCAGCCCUCACCGACUUGGUAGUGCAGCAGACAGCGGCGGCUCAGCAGCAGGCUGAUGCGGCAUGCCGUCAGGAGGUGCGGAUAAAGUGGCUCGAGGACCUUCUUCUACAGCAGGCAGCUUCUAGAGAGGCUUCGGUUCCUUCGCCGCCUGCACCUGUUGGGGACGUCGCACCGAGGGCGUCAUCACCCGCACCCGGAUCUUCGCGUGCGGCGCCCGUAGUUGUGCCUCGGGAAGAGGACUUUGUGGCACCACCUGUUUAGGUGCCUCUGGCGGGGAUAGUUUUUCCCGUAAUAGUCGAGGGGGUAGAGCGGGAUCGACUUAUAGAGCGUCUCAAUGAGUUCAGGAGGUGUAGCCCUCGGAUCUUCGACGGCGAGAAGGUCGACCAUUGGAUCGUGGAAAAGUGGUUGAUGCACAUAGAGAAGCUCUUCUGCGACACCUUCGUGGAGGAGAGGAACCGAGUUUGGCUCGCCAUAUACCACUUGGACGGCGAGGCCUACCGUUGGUGGUUGGACAUCCAGGAGAACCCCAACAUUGAUCUUGCGGCCAUUACUUGGAAGAAGUUCAAGGAGCUUCUAUUGGCGCACUACUUUCCGGACAUCGUCAAGAGAAAAAUGGAGCAGGACUUGCGCAACUUGCGCCAGGGAGACCGGACAGUAGCCGAGUUCGAGAGGAAGUUUUCUCGGCUUCUACAUUGCGUGCCUUUCGUCGUGCGGGACGACGAGGACAAGAUCCGCAUCUUCGAGCUAGGAUUGUGACCGUCGAUCUUUCGGUUUGUGCAAUCCUCUAACCUCCAAACCUACCGGGAGGUGGUGAAUCGCGCGCUCAUUGUGAAGAGCGGCGCGACAGAUGUUCAGAAGCGGCGAGAAGGCAUGGACAAGGGUAAGGGCAAAAGGUCCGCGGCUGAGGGUGCAAGUCAGACGCACUUUAGGAGGCCGCCGAAGCACCCUAGGAGCCAGCAGCGUGGGCGCGGCUCGACAGGGCAGCGAGAAGGAUCUGAUUGACGCCGACCUCCCCAGUGCGUGAUCUGUGGUGGUCGUCAUAUUCCACCGCAGUGUCCGCAGCGGGGAGGGAGGUGUUUUUUUGUGUGGCUAGGAGGGCCACUUUCGGACCGAGUGCCCGAGGGGUUCGUCACCGACACCGUCGACUGCAUCGGCACCGGCUCUACCAGCCGCCAGUUAGGGGACUCCAUCGGCACAGUACCAGCCUGAACGGUCACCCGUCCCGCAACAGAGCGAGGGAUCUCGACAGGCCCCGAGUGGGCGCAUGUACGCCGCUCAGACCGAGGAGGCGGCAGCAGCCGAGAAUGUGGUUGCAGGUAUCAUUUUAUUAGAUGGCAUUCGAGUUCGUGCAUUAUUUGAUACCGGUGCAUCACAUUCAUUCAUAGAUCGGCUGUUUGCCGAGUUGCAUGGCAUCUAUUUGGUUUCUUUGUUGCAUCCGGGACAGGUUGUAGUACCCGACUAUAUUUUGGAUAUUUGAGAGUUUUGCCCCAGUUGCCCUAUUCGAGUAGGGGAUUGGAUUAUGCCCGUGGAUUUGCUAGCCUUGUGCAAGCUGGGGGAGUUUGAUGUGGUCCUAGGCAUGGAUUGGUUAACCAAGUACUAUGCCACGAUCGAUUGCAAGAAUCGCACGGUUACUUUUAGAGAACCAGGGCAGACUGAGGUUAUUUUUAGAGGAUGCCAGAGUUCGCUGUUUGCGAUGACGAUCAGCUCGUCUCGAGCUAGGCAGCUGAUCAGCAGAGGUUGUAUAGCCUAUUUGGCUAGUGUUGUUCUGAGGGGCGAUGAUGACACCCCUAGGAUUGAGGAUAUCCCGAUGGUGUGGGAGUUUCAGGAUGUGUUUCCAGCUGAGCUACCAGGUAUGCCACCUGAUAGGGAGAUUGAGUUUGUAGUAGAUCUCGUCCCUAGGACUACCCCAAUCUCAAAGGCGCCCUAUAGGAUGGCACCAACAGAGCUGAAGGAGCUGAGGGUACAGCUGUAGGAUUUGUUGGAUAAAGACUUCAUUCGACCGAGCGUCUUGCCUUAGGGAGCACCAGUCUUGUUCGUCAAGAAGAAGGACGGAUCACUACGCCUAUGUGUGGAUUAUCGUGAAUUUAAUAAAGUUACGAUCAAGAAUAAGUAUCCGUUGCCGAGAAUUGACGACUUAUUUUAUCAGCUUCAAGGAUCGAGUGUGUAUUCCAAGAUCGACUUACAGUUGGGAUACCACCAGUUAAAGAUCAAAUCCGAGGAUGUAUCGAAGACGGCUUUUAGAACACGGUAUGGACAUUAUGAGUUCACAGUUAUGCCGUUCGGGCUUACUAAUGCCCGGCAGCUUUUAUGGAUCUAAUGAACCGUAUUUUUAAGCCCUAUCUAGACAGGUUCGUCGUGGUGUUCAUCGAUGACAUCUUGGUUUAUUCCCGAAGUGAUGCAGAUCAUGAGGAACAUUUGAAGCUUGUACUUCAAAUACUUCGGGAAAAGGAGCUUUAUGCCAAGUUGAAAAAGUGUGAAUUUUGGCUUCAGGAGGUGGCAUUCCUUGAACACUUGAUUUCGGGAUCGGGUAUAGCCGUGGAUCCUAAGAAGAUUGAGGCUAUCAAGGAUUGGCCGAGAUCGACGAGCGUCACGGAGAUACGGAGCUUUCUUGGAUAAGCCAGUUACUACCGGAGAUUUGUUGAGGGGUUCGCUAAGUUAUCUACUCCCCUCACGAGACUCACGCAUAAAGGCAUCAAAUUUAUUUGGAAUGAUACUUGUGAAAGGAGCUUCCAAGAGUUGAAGCAAAGAUUUACGACCUUCCCGAUCCUAACCCUGCCGGUUGCUGGAGCAGAGUAUGUGGUUUUUAGCGAUGCUUCAUUUAAUGGAUUGGGUUGCGUUUUGAUGCAGGAUGGCAAGGUGAUCGCGUAUGCUUCUCGCCAAUUGAAGGAAUAUGAAAGGAAUUAUCCUACACAUGAUUUGGAGUUGGCGGCCGUAGUCUUUGCAUUAAAGCUAUGGCGCUACUAUCUUUAUGGCGAGCAGUGUGAAGUAUACACGGAUCACAAGAGCUUGAAGUAUUUAUUCACUCAGAAGGAGCUGAACUUGAGGCAGCGCAGAUGGUUAGAGCUGCUCAAGGAUUAUGAUCUGACGAUUCUUUACUACCCAAGCAAGGCUAAUCUAGUGGCGGAUGCGCUAAGUUGGAAAUCGACGGAAAACUUAGCGAUGCAUGUUGUUGCUCAACCGCAGUUGAUCGAGCAGAUGAAGCGGUUGGAGUUGGAGGUGGUUACUCCUGACACGCCCUUGAGGUUGAUGACCUUGGUAGUGCAACCUACAUUGUUGAAUAGAAUUAAAGAAAAGUAAGUUUUCGAUGUGGAAUUGCGAAAGAUUGGAGAUAGAAUGGUCAAAUGGUUGCAUCGGCGAUUUCUUUGUGGAUGAUCAAGGGUUGAUGCAUUUUUGCGGAAGGUUAUGUGUACCAGCGGAUUCAGGAAUUAAAAAAGAUAUUCUUUAAGAGGCACACCGGGCACCCUAUGCUAUACAUCCGGGAAGUACCAAGAUGUACAAGGACUUAAAGUUGCUCUACUGGUGGCUCGGGAUGAAAAAGGAUGUUGGCGAGUUUGUAGCUCGUUGUCUAACUUGCUAACAAGUAAAGAGGGGAGCACCGAUUGCCCGCGGAAAAACUUUAGAGUUUGCCAAUUCCCGUGUGGAAAUGGAAGAAGAUCACCAUGGAUUUUGUGAUGGGAUUGCCUCGCUCUCACGCCGGGGAGGAUGCUAUUUGGGUGAUCGUGGAUAGGUUGGCGAAAUCGGUGCACUUCAUACCUAUUUAUACGACUUGGACUGGAGAGAAGCUCGCACAAGUGUACCUUGAUGAAAUUGUGCGACUUCACGGAGUGCCUACCUCGAUUGUAUCUGAUUGAGACAUCCGGUUCGUGUCUCACUUUUGGAGGAGUCUGCAGGACGCCUUAGGCACUCGAUUGGAUUUCAGCACUGCUUUCCACCCUAAGAGUGAUGGGCAGUCGGAGCGCACUAUUCAGACUUUAGAGAAUAUGCUCCGAGCAUGUGUGAUAGACUUCGAGGGAGGAUGGUCGCAGCAUCUACCGAUGGUAGAGUUUGCUUAUAACAAUAGUUAUCAAGCAAGCAUCAAGAUGGCACUCUUCGAAGCACUUUAUGGAUGGAAGUGUAGAUCGCCACUUCAUUGGAGUGAAGUUGGCGAGAGAUUGGCUUUAGGCCCUGAUGUGCUCCACGAAGCUGAGGACAAGGUUCGUAUUGCUCAGAGGAGCGACUUUUGACGGCACAAAGUAGACAGAGGAGCUACGCCGAUCGACGACGGCGAGACUUGGAGUUCCAAGUUGGAGAAAAUAUUUUCUUGAAGGUCUCACCGACUAGAGGGAUCAGGAGAUUCGGGAUUCGGGGUAAGUUGAGCCCCCGAUUUAUUGGACCGUAUGAGAUUUUGGAGCGUGUAGGUCCGGUAACGUAUCGACUUACUCUACCACCGAACCUAUCGGGUGUAUACAACGUCUUUUAUGUAUCGGUCCUUCGGAAGUACAGUCGACCCGGCUCAUGUUUUGGAUGCUACACCUAUAGAGUUGAGGGAUGAUUUGAGUUUUGAGGAGCAACCCGUGAGGAUCUUGACUCGCGAGGUGCGGAAGCUGCGAAAUCGGGAUAUUCCGUAUGUAAAGGUUCUUUGGAGCAACCACGAGGAGUGAGAGGCCACGCGGGACAUGGAGAGCGCCUUGCAGGGGCGCUAUCCCCAUCUCUUUCAGAUAGAGUCUUGAGGUACGUUGCUUUUGAGUUUCGCGGACGAAACUCCUUUUUAGGAGGGGUGAAUGUAACACACUGGACCUUUGCAAAUUGCAAGAUUCGACUGUUUGAUCUGUGUUCCGAGCUUUUCCAGAUAUUCUGGAUGGUCGUAGAUAAUGCUCCGACCCAUGGCUCGCAUCCCGAGAAUUGAGGUUUAAAACUUAGCAUCAAAAUCCAAAAGAUUGGAUUUUUAGGUCUGCUCUCGGGUUGCCUCAGUAGGGCUGUGUACCGGUACAGCCUUGAUGGUUGUACCGGUACAGAAAGUGUACCGGUACACCUUGAUAGUUGUACCGGUACAAAUGUGGUGAAUGACCAACCCGAGGCUCGGAUUUGCUGUCUCGCAGGAUUUGUACCGGUACACUUUUCCGUGUACCGGUACACAACGCAGUGCGAGCUAUUUUUGUGGAGGGGUGUAUUUGCAAUUAUUGCUAACUCUAUAUAACCCACCCCAGCCCUCUUUGAGUGCUCUUUCGAGCCCUAACUAGUGAUGAUUUAGGGUAAGUCUUCCUCCACUUGUUUGAUCUCCAUUUUUGAUAGAUUUUUUGCAUGUUUUGAUCUCCUCCUCUUGUUUUUCCUAGCUUCUUGUUGGGUUCCACCAUGGGAGACGCUUGAAUUUCGGGAUUGGAGCUUGAUAGAGGAUCAACCUUCAACCCUAGGUCACCUUGAGCUUCGUUUGGAGCUUCCCUUGAGGUUAGUAUCAUGAUUCUUCCAUUAGAUUUUUGAUUUGGAGGAUUUUUGAUGUUGGAACCCUAGAUUUGGAACUUAGGGUUUAUUAUGAGGAUUUUUGAUUAGAGACUUUUAAAGCCCAAUUGAUCUCAUUAGAAUCUUUGUUUAGGUUGGUUUGGAUGGACUCUAGCUCCCAUUUGGAGAUCGUGAGAGUUUCCUUCAUAUUCAGUGAGUUUUCUUCACCUUUGCUUGAGUUGCUUAACGUUUGAGCAAUUAAUUGUUCGUAACAUUCGUGUAUCUCUCUUUUCUAUGUCUUUAGGGUACUAGGAGAGUAGUGGGCAACCUCGUUCGGCGAAACGAAGGGUUGCGAGAGUCACGGUGGGUUUGACUUCAUGAAACAGGGGAGAAAUAUCCCCUAUGUGUUUGAUACUUGUCGUAUCGUCGAGAUGCAUGCAUAUUCAUGCUAGGUAGAAUUUUUAUGAAUUUUAGAAUACUUAAAAUGCAUGCGUUAUGUAUCAUGAAAAUUCAACUGUAUAUAGUAGAGCCUUAUGUAGAUUAUAUAUGCAUGUGAGUAGUAUUCUUUCUUGUGGAUUGGAAACAUGUCUCGUAUGAUGAAAAUGACUCGAUUUAUGUAUUCUUGAGCACUAAACUCAUGUUUGGACUUAGUGGACAAAAGUGCCAUAAAGGGGCACCCGACUUAGUAAACUCUGAAACUGCAAUAUAGAGACGUAGUAAUAGGCCAUUUGGGCAUCGACUAUAUUUCAUGUUUUAGACAUGAUGACAUAGUGAUAGGCCUUUGAGAUAUUUGCCACAUUCCAUGUUUUAGACAUGAUGACUUGAGACUCGAGACGGACUUUUACGCUUGCUUGCCAUUGUGUUCAUUCGCACAUGCUUGUGAGGGUCGCUCCCCACAAGCCGGCACUCUGAAGAUAGCCAUCGCGACACAUGCUCGCCCGUGCGGGAUUGGGUUCCGAAAUAGGAUGCCGUGGCGGAGGCUCAUUCCUAGAGUGGGGAUGUUGACUACCACGGGGCCAUUAGGCACGGCGCAAGCCGGACUACCCACGAGUAGAUCCUAUGAGAUUUGGAACAAGUGGAACCAAUUUGUAAAUGAACAAUUUGACAAGUUAGCAAACAUUGACAAUUUACUAGUUACCUGUGGACAUCAUAGUAGUUGCACUUAUGCAUUUUAUGGUACAGUAGCAUUCUUACUUAUGCAAAUUCAUGCUAAGUAGAGAUAUCAUGUUGUAGUAAACUUUCAUGUUUAUUUGCUUAUUGUUCAUAUUGCUUUACUCGUACUUACCCAUUUUCAGCUUUUGGGCCUAGUGCCGCAUUUCACUGAAGUUAAUAAUUGCCCACUGGGAACUAUUAUUUAAUAGUUCUUACGCCCUCUGUUUUAUGGUUUUCUUUCAGAGCCUUCAGCACCGGUGGAGGCACGGGAUCGCGGCAAAGGGGUCGCAUAGCUAGAUAGCAAGGAUUUACAUUUUGUUUAGGUGGUUUUCUCGUAUCCAUGUAUAGAGACCACCUAUGUACUAUUCUUAGCACUUGUAUUUGGAUUUUCAGUUGUACUACUUUAUAGUUUUUUUUUAGUGGACUUUAGCCUUUCGCUUUUUUCUCUAUUGUAGAUUCUAGUUGUUCUCUGCUUUGAUACAUCUAGAUGUCUUUCUACUAUUGCUUUAUUUACCGUUUUAUUGUAGACGCCUUAUACGUUUUAGACGUAUGGCGGGUCUGGGCACGUGCCGGACAGGCUUCCGCUGGGUCCCGAGGCGUGACACGCCUUCUAUGUUCUUAACAUAUGGCGGGUCUGGACACGCACUGGGCAGGCUUUCGCUAGGGCCGGGCCGUGAUAGAGAGAGAGAGAGAAGUGAUCUUGAGGAUGUAUUAAGUUGAACAAAAGAGACCAUGAAGAAAGGCGGGCAGAAUUAGUAACUUCACAAUUGUCAUUUCUUGAAUGAAUCAUUUUUUUUUUUCAUAUCAUUGUUCUUUGGUAUAUACUUAUUUGUUUCUCAAUAUAUGUUUUUUUAGUUAUGUCUUCUCCGACUUUGCCACAUCCUCAUUCAUCUCAACAAUCAACAUCUAUUGUUGGCACUAAUGAACUGUGUGACACUCAAGGGAAAAAUGAAAUAGCUGAUAAUAAUGAUAUGGAUGAGAUUGAAAAUAAACUAGAAAGAAAGAAAUUUGUAAAAAAUUUUCUAAGGUUUGGGAAUCUUUUAAAGAAAGAGAAGUUCUUGAGAAUAAAGUCUUGUUAAAAAAACUCAAAUGCAAAUUUUGUAUAAAGAAGUAUUCAAAAUCAAAGAUGGGCACCACCUCACAACUAACAAGGCAUAUGAAUGAGCGUUUUUACUUGAAAAAUCAGCCUAAAGUUCAAUGUUUAAUCAAUUUUGCACCAAGUGAAGCUCUAAAGAAUUUAGAAUUUUCGCCUUCUACAUUGGCCAUAUUGCAUCUUACGACACUACUUUUAAAAUCAAUGAAUAAUGGUUGAGAUAAUUCUAGUUCAUAAAUAUCCAUUUACGAUGGUUGAGCACACAUGGUUCAAUAUAUUGUGCAAGGUAUUGAAUCCUAAUUUUCGAAAGGUGAUUAGAAACACUAUAAAAAAUGAAUACUUAAAAGUCUAUGAAACUGAAAAAGAGAAAUUGAAAAAAGUACUAAAGAAUGUUAAUAAAAUAUCACUUAUAUGUGUUUGUUGGAUGCCCAAGCAAAACAAUUCGGUAUAUGGCUUUGACUGCUCACUAUAUAGAUUUAGAAUGGCAAUUGUAAAAGCAUGUCAUUAAUUUUAUUGAGCUAGAGCCACCACACACUGGUUUGGUUAUCUCUGAUGCUAUUUAUGAUUGCUUGUUAGAUUGAGGGGAUUCAAAAUAAAGUAUCUACAAUCACCUUAGAUAAUGCUUCAAGCAAUGAUGUAGUAGCUAGAAGUUUAAUAUUGAAUUCCAAAGGAGAAACACAAAGAAGAAACAAGCUUCCACUUCAAGGGUAUAUUCUUUUAUAUUAGAUGUUGUGCACAUGUCUUAAACUAGAUGGUUCUAGGGAUGUCAACGGGUUGGAUUCGGGGCGGAUUUUUGAAUACCCGUACCCGAACCACACUACCAAAUUCGAAACUCGAACCCGAAUCCGGAACAAACCCGAACCCGACCAAAAACCUGAAACCCGAUUCUAAACACAGAAACUCGAACCCGAAAAUAAUAUUUAUCAAAUUUCGAAACAUAUUAUAUAAAAAACUAAAGUUUCAAAAUACAUAUUCAAAUACAAUAUUAAACAUUCAUGCCAUUCAAAAUACACAUUUAAAUACAAUAUUAAACAUUCAUGCCAUAUAAUAACGAUAUCCAAAUAUGAAUAAUACAAACUCAAAUAGUUAAAAACAAUAAUACAAUUUUCAAAUGUCUAAUAUAAAUGCACAAUUUUUAAAUAGACCCAUACUAUGAUAAUAUUAUAUAUUAUAUAUAUAUAUAUAUAUAUAUAUAUAUAUAUAUUAUAUAUAUAUAUAUAUAUAUAUAUAUAUAUAACAGGGUUGCUGUGCUCUCAGAGCACGGAGGCCUCCAUGCUCCUGAGCCGUUUUUGAUGAUGAAAUUUUCGAAUCGACGAUCGGCUCUGUUCGACUUGAUCUUAGCGCAUUUGAAGUUUGUAGAAAAUAAUUUUUACGAUUUUUUGAUAUAUUUACCCUAGUGAUCGAAAGGAUUCAAAAUACUAUAAUUUUUAUGGUUGACAAUUUGCCGUUUUCAAGUUUAACGGCGUUGUAGAAGUAUUCAAAUCAGAUGAAUUUUGAUACAAAAUUCUUAUACUAUCUACAACAAGAUCAAAUAUUUCUGAUCAAAAAUUUUAGUGCUAUAUCACCACUUUUUAUAGAAUUUUUAUUUUCAGCCGCUUAAAAUUAUUGAUUUGAAUCCUUUCGAUUGCUAGGUAAAUGAUAUCAAAAAUCGCAAAAAUUAUUUUCUAAAAACUUCAAAUACGCUAGAUCAAGUUUAACGGAGCCGAUCAUCGAUUCGGAAACUCCAUCAUCGAAAACGGCUUAGGAGCACGGAGGCCUUCAUGCUCCUGAGAGCACAGCAGCCCUGCCUCUCUCUUCUCUCUCUCUCUCUCUCUUCUCUCUCUCUCUCUCUCUCUAUAUAUAUAUACUAUAUAUAAUAUAUAUAUAUAGGGUCCGGCUACUAUAUCUAUCGAUAGCACAGAGGGCUCGUGCUACCAAGUUGUUUUCGAUGAUGCGGCUUCCAAAUCGACGAUCGGCUCCGUUAAACUUGAUCUACACUAUUGAAAGUAUUUGGAAACUAAAUUUCAGAUUUUUUCGAUAUCAUUUGACUAGUGAUCAAAAGAUCUCAAAGUUGAUAAUUUUAUGGGCCGAUGUGGUGUGUUUGAGAGUUUAACGGUGUAAAACAAUCCAAAUCCGAUGAAAAUUUUAUAGAAAAUUCUUUUUACUAUUUAGAGUGAGAUCAGUAUAUCUGAUCUUAAAUUUAAAUCUUUUAUCAUCAUUUUUAUGAGAUUUUUAUUUUCAGCCGUUCAAUUUUAAACUACUUGUUUGAUAGGUAAAUGAUAUCGAAAAAUUAUGAAAUUUAGUUUCUAAAUACUUUUAAUAGUGUAGAUCAAGUCUAACGGAGCCGAUCGUCGAUUUGGAAGCCGCAUCAUCGAAAACAACUUGGUAGCACGGAGUGCUGCGUACUACCGAUAGUAUAGCAGCCUAGCUAUUGGUGCUAUUAGGUUUUCGGCCCUUCGAUGAAGGCAUGUGUGAUUAGGAUGAUAGUAGUCUCCUAAGGUUAAGUAGGUGGGUGGUUGAAUAUAUGAUAUAACAGGUGAAAAUGAUUAAAGGAAUAGAUCUAACGACGGAAAACUUAAUAGCGAGAAGUGCUUGGUGCUAUUAAUAACAUAGUAGCCAGAUUCUCUCUCUCUCUCCCUAUAUAUAUAUAUAUAUAUAUAGGCUGGGGCUACUAUACUUAUAUGAAUAUACAGCCCUUUGUACUCAUAAAUUUUCAGCCGUUCAGAUGAAAAAAUAUGCGGUUAUGAUGAAAGUGGUUACGGUUAGGUUGAUAGUGGGCCCCCUGAGGUUGAGUGGGUGGUUGGUUGAAUAGUAUAAUCUAACGGGUGAAAAUGAUUAAAGGGUAGAUCCAACGGGCAAAAACUUAUGAGUACAAGAGGCUCUAUACUCAUAAAAGUAUAGUAGUCGGACUAUAUAUAUAUAUAGUAGAGCUAUUAUGCUAUUGGAAGCAUGGAGGAUCUGGUGCUUUCGAUUUUUUGGCUCUUAUAUCAACCUCUUUGAUCAUUUCUAUCAUUUGAAUUAAAAUUAUUGUUGUGAGGACUACUCAAUCCUAGGGAGGGCUGUAAUCAUUCUAACCGUACAAUUCUUGAUCUAAUGAUCAAAAAAUCGGAAACAUAAAAUCUUUUAUACUUCCAAUAUAUAUAUAUAGAGAGAGAGUUGAGUUAGAAUACUCUCAGAAGCACAAAGGGGGUAGUACUUUUGAGUUUUUAGCCUUUGGAUUGAGAGAUGUAGGGUUGGGAUGAUGAUGGUAGGUGGUAGGUAGUGGUAGGUGGAAUAGUGUUUGAUUCAAGGGCUAUUAGUAAUCAAGGAGUAGAUCCAAGAGGUAGAAACUUAGAAGCACCAAGAGAUUGAUGCUUCUAAAAGUGCUCUAGCUCAAUUCUAUAUAUGUGUGUGUGUGUGUGUGUGUGUGUGUGUGUGUGUGUGAGGCUACUAUGCUUUUGGAAGCACAGAUCCUUCAGUACUUCCAGGUCAUUUUCGAUGUGUGUGUGUGUGUGUGUGUGUGUGUGUGUGUGAGAGGCUACUAUGCUUUUCGAAGCACAGAGCCUUCCNUGGGUGGUUGGUUGAAUAGUAUAAUCUAAUGGUUAAAAAUGAUCCGAGAAGUAGAUCUAAUGGUAAAAAACUUACAAGCACCAAGUGCUUGGUGCGUUUACAAGCACCAUAGCUGGACUCUACACACACACACACACACACACACACACUCUCAAAGAGGGAGGGAAGAGUGGCCAAUUCAAACUCAAGUGGAGAAGAGGAAAAUAAGCCAAUUCAAACUCAAGUGGCCAAUUGUAUAUAUAUAUAUAUAUAGAAAGUGGAGCUGAAAUACUAUUGAUAGUAUGAGAAUAGAAUUUUCUAUGAACUUUUUGACCACUAGAUACAUAGGGUUUCGUGGGGGUUGGUGGAAUACUGUUUAUAUACUAUUAAUAGUAUACUAGCUCAACCCUCUUUCUCUAUAUGUAUAGUAGGACUACUGUACUAUUAUGAGUAUAGGAUCUUUCGUACUCAUAAGUCAUUUUCGAUGAUAGAUCUUCCGAAUUGAUGAUUCAUACCGUUAAACAUGAUCUAGAGCAUUUGAAAUUUCUAGAAACCAAAUUUCAUAAUUUUUUAAAAUUAUAAUAAAGUCCAUCAAACAUAAAAAUGAAUAGGUCAAAAUCAAACGACUUCCUAAAAUUAGAGGAUUGAAGUUUUCAAUUUAAGAUCGGAGUUAUUGAUCUUUAUCUAGAUAAUGAAUAGAACAUUUUAUCAAAAGUUUAACCAAUUUCGAUUCUUUUAACUGUUAACUAGCAACUAUCUCAUAUCGGCCGUUAAAAGUUAUCAACAUUGAGAUAUUUUGAUCAUAUGCAAAUGAUAUCGAAAAAUUAUAAAAUUUGGUUUCUAGAAGUUUAAAUGCUCUAGAUAAUGUUUAACGGUAUUUAUUGUUCAUUCGAAAGUUCUAUCAUCGAAAACGACUUAUAUUCGAAAGUUCUAUCAUUUUUUAGACCUUUUGAUCGCUUAGUAAAUGAUGUCAAAAAAUUAUAAAUUUGGUUUCUAGGUAGUUCCAAUAGGGUAGAUUAUACUUAAUGGAGCCGAUCGUCGAAUCGGAUGUUCUACCAUCGAAAACAACUUACAAGUACGGAGGUCUCCGUACUUUCAAAAGUACAGGAGACGUACUCUAUAUAUAUAUAUAUAUAAAUAUAUAUAUAUAGAAUUAUGCUACUAUACUAUCAAUAGUACCAAGCCCUUGGUACUAUUGAGUUUUCGGCCGUUGGAUAAAAGGAUGUGUGGUUAGGAUGAUAGUGGUCCCCGGUUAAAUUAAUAGUGGUCCCCUAGGGUUGAGUGAGUGGUUUGUUUAAUAUUAUAAUCUAACGGGUGGAAAUGAUCAAAAGGUAGAUCUAACGGUAGAAAACUCAAUAGUACCAAGGGCUUGAUACUAUCAAUAGUAUAGUAGCCGGACUCUAUAUAUAUAUAUAUAUAUAUAGAGUGAGGCUACUAUGCUUCUGGAAGCUACUAUGCUUCUGGAAGUACGGACUACGGAGCCUUCCGUGCUUUCAGGUCAUUUUUCAUGUUGCGACUUUCGAAUCGUCGAUCGGCUCCGUUAAACUUGAUCUAGAGUAUUUGAAGUAUCUAGAAAAUAAAUUUUGUAAUUUUUCGAUAUCAUUUGCCGAGUGAACUAAGGGGCUCAAAAUCAACGGCUGAAAAUAAAAAUCUUACAAAACGUGAUAAUAUGACAUUAAAAUUUUAGAUCAAAGAUAUUGAUCUUGUUUUAUAUAGUAUAAAGAAUUUUCUAUCAAAAUUUCAUGUGAUUUGGAUAUUUCUACACCAUUAAACUUGCAAACGGCUCACCACGGCCUUUAAAAUUAUUGAUUUUGAGCCCCUUCGAUCACUAGACAAAUGGUAUCGAAAAAUCAUAAAAUUUAUUUUUCAAGUACUUCAAAUACUCUAGAUCAAGUUUAACGGAGCCGAUCGACGAUUUGAAAGUCGCAAUAUCGGAAACGACCUGGAAGCAUGGAAGGCUCCGUGCUUCCAGACCCGUGCUCCGUGCUUCCAGAAGCAUAGUAGCUUCACUCUCUCUCUCUCUCUCUCUCUCUCUCUCUCUAUAUAUAUAUAUAUAUAGGAAAGAAGUUCUUUUCUGGACGAUUAAACUCUCAACAAAUUUGUCCUCUUUUUUGAAGCCAACGCCCCACUUUUUAUAGCCAUCUAAUUUAGCUUUUUUUUUUUUUUUAACUGCUGAAAUUUUCCAUUAAAAUCCCAAUGAACUUUCUGGUUUGAAUCUGAACCUCAAACUUCAGUUUGUUGCUAAUAUCUCUCACUAGUUUGUUGCUCAAUCCUCUCCCAUUUGAAUUUCAAAAUUCAAGUUUCGGUUCAGGUUUAGAAAGAGUUCAGUUUAAGUGUGUUUUUGGUUUGGUUAAGCUCAACUUAUUCAAUUGAAACAUAGGACCGAAAUUUAUCAAAAGAUUUACGUAUUGAAAACUAAUUUGAUGCCCGCAUCACCUUACUGGUGAAAUACACUAUCCCACCAACUCAGAGAAGCCGGGACCUUCUAAGAAAUAAAAAUUUUCAAAGCUUUCAUUUACAGUAAAAAAUUCUCAUACUAAAGAAGUUAAUACCAGAUAACUCAUUCCAACCUCCAAACAAAACCAAAACGAUUACCAGCGAGAGAGCGAUGCAACAACUUGCAAAAUAUGCAUCUGUUUGCAAACCUAUAUUUUGCCAGAGGAAUAUGAAACAACUGAGCUAUCCCCUGUUCCUGAAUGAUCAGAUGUAGGUGUACUUUCCAUACAUUUAUCCACCAACCGCCCUUGUGUUGAUCUUUGUGAAGCCGUGGGCAGCUGGCUGGUGUGAUAAAAAUAUAUGCUCAAUAUUUUGCUUGCAGAUUUGAUGAGAACAGAACUAACAGUCUAUUCUCAAAAUCUUAUCAAAAGGAGGAAAGAAAGAUUGAGACAUGAUGCAGGAUAGUACAAAAGGUUAGAAUACAUUUAAAUGAAAUAGCGCGUCUGUAAAAGAUAAAGAUCAAAUCGCUAACUGCAAUAAUCUCACUUAAGCAUCACCUCGACCUCCGAUAAUCUCACUAACAACCUUAUUUUUUGACCAUCGGUUAACGAGAGUUAAGAGCAAACUAAUGGAGUCGAUAUCACAUCACUACUAGCGAUUUCUCACAUAAGUCGCAUGCAUGUGAAUCUCAACAUACGAAGCUUAAGUAAGAAGUUUAGAUUUCUACAAUAUUUUGGUACAUCUCAAGCAGGCAAAUUGGAUUCAACUCACAGCAAGCACUCUAGAAACACUUUCAGUAUAAUAGUAGCAACCUCAGAAAUCAUCU